GACGAACGCUGGCGGCGUGCUUAACACAUGCAAGUCGAACGGAAAGGCCCUGCUUUUGUGGGGUGCUCGAGUGGCGAACGGGUGAGUAACACGCGAGUAACCUGCCCUUGACUUUGGGAUAACUUCAGGAAACUGGGGCUAAUACCGGAUAGGAGCUCCUGCUGCAUGGUGGGGGUUGGAAAGUUUCGGCGGUUGGGGAUGGACUCGCGGCUUAUCAGCUUGUUGGUGGGGUAGUGGCUUACCAAGGCUUUGACGGGUAGCCGGCCUGAGAGGGUGACCGGCCACAUGGGGACUGAGAUACGGCCCAGACUCCUACGGGAGGCAGCAGUGGGGAAUAUUGCACAAUGGGCGGAAGCCUGAUGCAGCAACGCCGCGUGCGGGAUGACGGCCUUCGGGUUGUAAACCGCUUUCGCCGGUGACGAAGCGUGAGUGACGGUAAUGGGUAAAGAAGCACCGGCUAACUACGUG
RNAcentral lists this ribosomal RNA (468 nucleotides) under uncultured bacterium. Its description in RNAcentral is "partial 16S ribosomal RNA". It matches the Rfam family "Bacterial small subunit ribosomal RNA", at positions 28 to 507 of the family's 1533-position model. The record is from RNAcentral.